Molecule: transfer RNA, 74 nt
Filed under: Acholeplasmatales bacterium
Lineage: Bacteria; Bacillati; Mycoplasmatota; Mollicutes; Acholeplasmatales
Description: tRNA-Thr
Rfam family: tRNA
About the family: Transfer RNA (tRNA) molecules are approximately 80 nucleotides in length. Their secondary structure includes four short double-helical elements and three loops (D, anti-codon, and T loops). Further hydrogen bonds mediate the characteristic L-shaped molecular structure. tRNAs have two regions of fundamental functional importance: the anti-codon, which is responsible for specific mRNA codon recognition, and the 3' end, to which the tRNAs corresponding amino acid is attached (by aminoacyl-tRNA synthetases). tRNAs cope with the degeneracy of the genetic code in two manners: having more than one tRNA (with a specific anti-codon) for a particular amino acid; and 'wobble' base-pairing, i.e. permitting non-standard base-pairing at the 3rd anti-codon position.
Source: RNAcentral
GCCCCUAUAGUUCAAUGGUAGAACGCAGCCAUGGUAAGGCUGAAGUGUUAGUUCAAUUCUGACUAGGGGCACCA